Molecule: unclassified non-coding RNA, 347 nt
Filed under: soil metagenome
Description: partial contains 5.8S ribosomal RNA, internal transcribed spacer 2, and large subunit ribosomal RNA
Rfam family: 5.8S ribosomal RNA (bases 6-120)
Source: RNAcentral
GAUGAAAGAACGCAGCGAAAUGCGAUACGUAAUGUGAAUUGCAAAUUCAGUGCAUCAUCGAGUCUUUGAACGCACAUUGCGCCCCCUGGUAUUCCGGGGGGCAUGCCUGUCCGAGCGUCAUUGCUGCCCUCAAGCACGGCUUGUGUGUUGGGCCCCGUCCUCCGAUCCCGGGGGACGGGCCCGAAAGGCAGCGGCGGCACCGCGUCCGGUCCUCGAGCGUAUGGGGCUUUGUCACCCGCUCUGUAGGCCCGGCCGGCGCUUGCCGAUCAACCCAAAUUUUUUAUCCAGGUUGACCUCGGAUCAGGUAGGGAUACCCGCUGAACUUAAGCAUAUCAAUAAGCGGAGGA